This 756-nucleotide ribosomal RNA is filed under the name uncultured bacterium. RNAcentral describes it as "bacterial SSU rRNA". It matches the Rfam family "Bacterial small subunit ribosomal RNA", at positions 8 to 796 of the family's 1533-position model. The record is from RNAcentral.
AGAGUUUGAUCAUGGCUCAGAAUCAACGCUGGCGGCGCGCCUAACACAUGCAAGUCGAACGAGAAAGUGGAGCAAUCCAUGAGUACAGUGGCGUACGGGUGAGUAACACGUGGGUAAUCUACCUCUUAGUGUGGAAUAACUUUGGGAAACCGAAGCUAAUACCGCAUAAGCUCGAGAGAGGAAAGCAGCAAUGCGCUGAGAGAGGAGCCCGCGGCCGAUUAGCUAGUUGGCAGGGUAAAAGCCUACCAAGGCAUAGAUCGGUAGCCGGCCUGAGAGGGCACACGGCCACACUGGCACUGAAACACGGGCCAGACUCCUACGGGAGGCAGCAGUGGGGAAUCUUGCACAAUGGGGGAAACCCUGAUGCAGCGACGCCGCGUGAGCGAUGAAGCCCUUCGGGGUGUAAAGCUCUUUCGGCAGGGAAGAUAGUGACGGUACCUGCAGAAGCAGCUGCGGCUAACUACGUGCCAGCAGCCGCGGUAAUACGUAGGCAGCGAGCGUUGUUCGGAGUUACUGGGCGUAAAGGGUGUGUAGGCGGUUGUUUAAGUUUGGUGUGAAAUCUCCCGGCUCAACUGGGAGGGUGCGCCGAAUACUGAAUGACUAGAGUACGGGAGAGGAAAGUGGAAUUCCUGGUGUAGCGGUGAAAUGCGUAGAUAUCAGGAGGAACACCGGUGGUGUAGACGGCUUUCUGGACCGUAACUGACGCUGAGACACGAAAGCGUGGGUAGCAAACAGGAUUAGAUACCCUAGUAGUCC